AAGUCGUAACAAGGUAACCGUAGGUGAACCUGCGGUUGGAUCAUUAACAAAUUAUUUAGGCCCCUGGCUGCCCCAAAAGGGCGAAGGGGGGAAACCUAAACAUUUGUGUGCACCAUAUCUGUCUUUGGCAGUUCGAGUGUCUUGGGUGCGUAACUGCCUCAAGUACCUACCGAGGCUUUCCUUUCGGGGUUUGCCAGAGUUGGGCUGCCGCUUUUUUGAACAAACCUUUUGUUGUUUUUGUUUUGACUGAAUUUGUUUGAUCUUUAUGAUUGAAUUUAAAUACAACUUUUGACAACGGAUCUCUUGGCUCUC
Molecule: unclassified non-coding RNA, 312 nt
Filed under: Rhizophlyctis rosea
Lineage: Eukaryota; Fungi; Chytridiomycota; Chytridiomycetes; Rhizophlyctidales; Rhizophlyctidaceae
Also listed under: 1 other name
Description: partial internal transcribed spacer region
Rfam family: Eukaryotic small subunit ribosomal RNA (bases 1-46)
Source: RNAcentral